UGUACAGGUGGAUGUCAGGCUGGCUGGUCUGGGGACAACUGUCAAAUUCCAGAUGAAUGUGAAGCCGGUUACUAUGGAUCUCAAUGCACUGAUAAAUGUCAUUGCUUGAAUGAUGAACUAUGUGAUAAAGAUACUGGAGAGUGCCCUGCGCAGAAGUGUGCUCUAGGAUACAAAGUACGCAGUGGCCAGGUCGAAUGUCAAGAGUGUGAAGGGGGUACCUUUGGUUUGGAUUGUCUUCAGCAAUGUCAUUGUGCUCCAGAAGCUUGUGAGAAGCAGAGAGGUCUGUGCAAUGGACAAUGCCUUGAUAGCUGGAU
Strongylocentrotus purpuratus (purple sea urchin) is the source of this 314-nucleotide long non-coding RNA. RefSeq lists it as uncharacterized. NCBI's taxonomy places the organism in Eukaryota, Metazoa, Echinodermata, Echinoidea, Camarodonta, Strongylocentrotidae. The record is from RefSeq and is a predicted model, not a curated record. The transcript has 3 exons.